Molecule: ribosomal RNA, 572 nt
Filed under: uncultured bacterium
Lineage: Bacteria
Description: bacterial SSU rRNA
Rfam family: Bacterial small subunit ribosomal RNA
Source: RNAcentral
AACGGCAGCACGGGGGCAACCCUGGCGGCCAGUGGCGGACGGGUGAGGAAUACAUAGGAAUCUACCCUGUCGUGGGGGAUAACGUAGGGAAACUUACGCUAAUACCGCAUACGACCGAGAGGUGAAAGCGGCGGACCGCAAGGCGUCGCGCGGCUGGAUGAGCCUAUGUCCGAUUAGCUAGUUGGCGGGGUAAUGGCCCACCAAGGCGACGAUCGGUAGCUGGUCUGAGAGGAUGAUCAGCCACACUGGAACUGAGACACGGUCCAGACUCCUACGGGAGGCAGCAGUGGGGAAUAUUGGACAAUGGGCGCAAGCCUGAUCCAGCAAUGCCGCGUGGGUGAAGAAGGCCUUCGGGUUGUAAAGCCCUUUUGUACGGGAAGAAAUCCUGUCGGUUAAUACCCGGCGGGGAUGACGGUACCGUAAGAAUAAGCACCGGCUAACUUCGUGCCAGCAGCCGCGGUAAUACGAAAGGUGCAAGCGUUAAUCGGAAUUACUGGGCGUAAAGCGUGCGUAGGCGGUUGGCUAAGUCAGAUGUGAAAGCCCCUGGGCUCACCCUGGGAAUGGCAUUUGAA